CAGUAGCCGCGGAAUACGAAGGGUGCAAGCGUUACUCGGAAUUACUGGGCGUAAAGCGUGCGUAGGUGGUGGUUUAAGUCCGUUGUGAAAGCCCUGGGCUCAACCUGGGAAUUGCAGUGGAUACUGGGUCACUAGAGUGUGGUAGAGGAUAGUGGAAUUUCCGGUGUAGCAGUGAAAUGCGUAGAGAUCGGAAGGAACAUCUGUGGCGAAGGCGACUAUCUGGGCCAACACUGACACUGAGGCACGAAAGCGUGGGGAGCAAACAGGAUUAGAUACCCCAGUAGUCCCUGUCUCUUAUACA
This 301-nucleotide ribosomal RNA is filed under the name uncultured bacterium. RNAcentral's name for it is "partial 16S ribosomal RNA". It matches the Rfam family "Bacterial small subunit ribosomal RNA", at positions 509 to 808 of the family's 1533-position model. The record is from RNAcentral.